RNAcentral lists this ribosomal RNA (253 nucleotides) under uncultured bacterium. RNAcentral describes it as "partial 16S ribosomal RNA". It matches the Rfam family "Bacterial small subunit ribosomal RNA", at positions 524 to 776 of the family's 1533-position model. The record is from RNAcentral.
UACGUAGGGUGCAAGCGUUAAUCGGAAUUACUGGGCGUAAAGCGUGCGCAGGCGGUGAUGUAAGUCAGAUGUGAAAGCCCCGGGCUUAACCUGGGAACUGCGUUUGAAACUGGGAGACUUGAGUGUGGCAGAGGGGGGUGGAAUUCCACGUGUAGCAGUGAAAUGCGUAGAUAUGUGGAGGAACACCGAUGGCGAAGGCAGCCCCCUGGGUUAACACUGACGCUCAUGCACGAAAGCGUGGGGAGCAAACAGG